This 1039-nucleotide long non-coding RNA is filed under the name Trifolium pratense (red clover). Its description in RNAcentral is "long non-coding RNA (TPRA_LNC013100)". The record is from RNAcentral. Lineage: Eukaryota; Viridiplantae; Streptophyta; Magnoliopsida; Fabales; Fabaceae.
CCAUCAAUAGUGUUGCUUUGCUGUGUUGGAAAUUCUAUUUGUUGUAUUAAGAAAAUCUGCAGCAGUUAGUUUUAUCAUUGUUCUGAGGCAACAGUUUAUGUCUACUUUGCUGUCCUAGAUUCUGAUUUUUUCAUUUCAUUCUGCGGCAGCAAUCAGUCCCAUUGCCAAAACUGCUAUGUUUUCUGUUUUGGAAUGGGAUCCUUGAAACUGUGUAUUUACUGUUCUGUGUUUUUUCUUCAGGUGCGUUUCAAAUUGUGUCUUGUGCUGGAAUCAUUCCGCAUAAAAGCAACUUUUCAUCAUGUUCAUCUGGUGUUAUCCAUAGUCAGCAGUGUUGUCCUUUUGUUAUGGAUGGGAUCCUGAAUUGCUGUUUUCCCAUUUUGUGUUUUAGUGUGUUUCAUGUUAAGCCAUGUGUUGGCUUUAUUCAGUAUAAAAGUGGUUUUGCAUCUUGCUCUCCGUUCAGGUGUGGCGAGCCUUUUUAAGAAAUGCAGGUCAGUUGUUGUGGCAGAAUCCAAGUUGGUAUUCUGCAUAACUUUGCAGGUCAAAGUAAAUACUAUCUCCAGCUUGAAAUCUGAUUUUUAGAUGAAGUGGCGUGGCUAGUCGCGGGUGUUGGAUGAAGGUUUAGAAAAACAUUGAUGGUUAUUGAAGGAUUUAUGUCAUUAUUUGAAGGUUUUAUUACUUUUGUCUUUGCUUUGUUUAAAAAUUCUUCUGGUCUUGAGUUUGUCUGGUUGUAGACUUGGUUUGAACUUUUUGAAGUGGCGCAUUGGGUGUUAGUUUGGAUGCAGCUUUGUGUUGGAGAUUUAAACUUAAGGCUUGUGUUGGAGAUCAUAAAGUCUUUUAAAAUUCCUUGAAAUCCCAAUUGAAUACACCCCCUUAAGACUCGGAUUAUUUUUCAUUCUCGUAGGCCUUGUACUUGUAAUUUUCAAUAUAUGAUUUAGAUACUCUAAAGCCAGUAAAAUGUAAACGGAGGGAUAAUGGAUGUCACCAAAUAAUCAGUUUACACCAAACACAGGAAAAACAAGAAAAAUUCUAUUAAUGAAUG